RNAcentral lists this ribosomal RNA (448 nucleotides) under uncultured bacterium. RNAcentral describes it as "SSU rRNA". It matches the Rfam family "Bacterial small subunit ribosomal RNA", at positions 26 to 518 of the family's 1533-position model. The record is from RNAcentral.
AGAACGAACGCUGGCGGCAGGCCUCAAACAUGCAAGUCUAGGGGGUGUAGCAAUACAUCACCGGCGGACGGGUGCGUAACGCGUGGGAAUAUACCUAUUGGUUCGGAACAACUGAGGGAAACUUCAGCUAAUACCGAAUGUGUCCUAACGGAGAAAGAUUUAUCGCCAAUAGAUUAGCCCGCGUUCGAUUAGCUAGUUGGUGGGGUAAUGGCUCACCAAGGCGACGAUCGAUAGCUGUUCUGAGAGGAAGAUCAGCCACACUGGGACUGAGACACGGCCCAGACUCCUACGGGAGGCAGCAGUUGGGAAUCUUGGACAAUGGGGGAAACCCUGAUCCAGCCAUGCCGCGUGAGUGAUGAAGGCCUUCGGGUUGUAAAACUCUUUCGCGCACGACGAUAAUGACGGUAGUGCGAGAAGAAGCUCCGGCUAACUUCGUGCCAGCAGCCGC